AUAUUAAGUUAUUAUUUUCUUUUUUUUUUUAUUGAAAUUUUAUUUUAAAUGAAAAUAUUUAAAUUAUUUUAUUAGACAAAAAGACCCUAUGAAGCUUAAAAUUUAAAAAUAUAAUUAAUAUAGUAAUUUAAAUUUAUUAUUUGGGGAAAAUAAUAAUAUUUUUAUUAUAAAAUAUAUAUAUAUAAAAUAAAUAGAUCCUAAAAAGGAAUUAUGAAAUAGCUCCUCUAGGGAUAACAGCAU
This 240-nucleotide ribosomal RNA is filed under the name Paraeuchaeta rubra. RNAcentral's name for it is "partial 16S rRNA". The record is from RNAcentral. Lineage: Eukaryota; Metazoa; Arthropoda; Copepoda; Calanoida; Euchaetidae.